Molecule: ribosomal RNA, 447 nt
Filed under: uncultured bacterium
Lineage: Bacteria
Description: bacterial SSU rRNA
Rfam family: Bacterial small subunit ribosomal RNA
Source: RNAcentral
UGGGGAAUAUUGGACAAUGGGCGCAAGCCUGAUCCAGCCAUGCCGCGUGGAUGAAGAAGGCCCUAGGGUUGUAAAGUCCUUUCGACGGAGACGAUAAUGACGGUAUCCGUAGAAGAAGCCCCGGCUAAUUUCGUGCCAGCAGCCGCGGUAAUACGAAAGGGGCUAGCGUUGUUCGGAAUUACUGGGCGUAAAGCGCACGUAGGCGGUCGUGUAAGAUGGGGGUGAAAUCCCGGAGCUCAACUCCGGAACUGCCUUCAUGACUGCAUGGCUAGAGGAUGCGAGAGGUUGGCGGAAUUCCGAGUGUAGAGGUGAAAUUCGUAGAUAUUCGGAAGAACACCAGUGGCGAAGGCGGCUAACUGGUCCGGUACUGACGCUGAGGUGCGAAAGCGUGGGGAGCAAACAGGAUUAGAUACCCUAGUAGUCCCUGAGCGGGCUGGCAAGGCGCAU